GUCCUACUCUGCAACCCUGUGGACUGUAGCCUGCCAGGCUCCUCUGUCCAUGGGAUUAUCUAGGCAAGAAUACUGGAGUGAGUUGCCAUUUCCUCCUCCAGAGGAUCUUCCCAAGCUGGAAUUGAAUCCACAUCUCUUACGUCUCCUACAUUGGCAGGAGGGUUCUUUACCAUUAGCGCCACCCUCAUUUGCCCCCAAACAUGCCGUAGUCCUCUUCGUAGCUGUAGAGAAAGCCUGGAGGGGAUGGAAGCACCCAGGGCACCUACAGCCAGGAAGCAGGUGCCUCCAGGGCCAACCCCAAAACUGCUUUCACUAGCACCUGUUCAUUUCUACUGAGCAUGGAACCCUGGGGACGCCUGGCCAUGAGGCAGGAGAACUUGCACCAAAGAAGAGCUUCAGUAGUCAGAGAAGAAAGCUACAAGGAGAAGAUGCUGAGCUGGAAUGGAGGAGUCAUAAGAGCCCUGGAUCUUAUCUUAGUUUCCCAGCCUGCACUUGAGCAACUUAAGAACUAUCGGGCCAAAGAAGAAUUCAACGUUUGGCCAUGUUAAUAGAAGCACAUGACCCAGGUCAAAGGAGGAGAGUCCCACCUGCAUUUCCUGGCCUGCCCUGGGCUGGGAGGUGUAAUUUAAGAAGGGCAAUGACAAACCAGGCUCCAUGCAGAGGCCUCUGGCAGCCACAGAACGUGACUGUGACUCAGGCUGGAGUGAAACAUCUGGCAUCUGAAAGGCUUCCUGUGGAGUCGGAGGGCAGGGCAGGUCUAGUUGUAGUGGACGGGAGUCAGAAAGACUUAGAUGAAGGAAGUGCGGAAGAGAAGCAAACAUUUUCUGCCCACCAACUGUGAGGUCAACAGAACAGGUUGUCUUCUGAGGCUGACAGUACAGCGGAAAGGGCCGGGUUAAUCUAGACCGAGUCCUCCAGCGUUCACUUUCCUCCAAGAUGCCCUAUUUAGAAGUGUAGUGUUAGUCGCUCAGUCGUUGCUGACUCUUUGCAACCCCACAGACUGUAGCCCACCAGGCUCCUCUGUCCAUGGAAUUCUCCAGGCAAGAAUUCUGGAGUGGGUUGCCAUCUCCUCCUCCAGGGGAUCUUCCUGACCCAGGGAUUGAACCUAGGUCUCCCUCAUUGCAGGUGGACUCUUUACCAUCUGAGCCACCAGGGAAGCCUGGACCAGAGUCCUCCAGGGUUCACUUAGCUCCGAGAUGCCCUAUUUAAUAAGAGACUAAGGCCCAGAUGUGCACUAUGCCCUCCCUGAAGGUCACACCCCGUCCGCAGAGGAAGUUAAGAGCAGGCCUCAGCGGCCU
Long non-coding RNA from Bos taurus (domestic cattle), 1298 nucleotides. NCBI's taxonomy places the organism in Eukaryota, Metazoa, Chordata, Mammalia, Artiodactyla, Bovidae. The record is from Ensembl.